Long non-coding RNA from Oenanthe melanoleuca, 484 nucleotides. RefSeq lists it as uncharacterized. The transcript has 6 exons. The record is from RefSeq and is a predicted model, not a curated record. Lineage: Eukaryota; Metazoa; Chordata; Aves; Passeriformes; Muscicapidae.
UGUUAUUUGGGGUUCAGGUGUUAUUUUAGGGGGUUCAGGUGUUAUUUCUGGGGGUUCAGGUGUUAUUUUUGGGGUUCAGGUGAUGUUUUUGGGGUUCAGGUGUGAUGUUUUUGGGGUCCCUCACGUAUUUGGCGAAGAAGGAUUUCUGCUCCUGCGGGUUCAGGUGUUAUUUUAGGGGGUUCAGGUGUUAUUUUUAGGGUUCAGGUGAUAUUUUUGGGGUUCAGGUGUGAUUUUGGGGUGUCCCUCACGUAUUUGGCGAAGAAGGAUUUCUGCUCCUGCGGGUUCAGGUGUUAUUUUUGAGGGGUACAGGUGCUAUUUUUGGGGUUCAGGUGUUAUUUUAGGGGGUUCAGGUGUGUUUUUGGGGUCCCUCACGUAUUUGGCGAAGAAGGAUUUCUGCUCCUGCGGGUUCAGGUGUUAUUUUAGGGGGUUCAGGUGUUAUUUUAGGGGGUUCAGGUGUUAUUUUUGGGGUUCAGGUGAUGAUUUU